AGUGAACGCUGGCGGUAGGCCUAACACAUGCAAGUCGAACGGCAGCACAGUAAGAGCUUGCUCUUACGGGUGGCGAGUGGCGGACGGGUGAGGAAUACAUCGGAAUCUACUUUUUCGUGGGGGAUAACGUAGGGAAACUUACGCUAAUACCUCAUACGACCUACGGGUGAAAGCAGGGGAUCUUCUGACCUUGCGCGAUUGAAUGAGCCGAUGUCGGAUUAGCUAGUUGGCGGGGUAAAGGCCCACCAAGGCGACGAUCCGUAGCUGGUCUGAGAGGAUGAUCAGCCACACUGGAACUGAGACACGGUCCAGACUCCUACGGGAGGCAGCAGUGGGGAAUAUUGGACAAUGGGCGCAAGCCUGAUCCAGCCAUACCGCGUGGGUGAAGAAGGCCUUCGGGUUGUAAAGCCCUUUUGUUGGGAAAGAAAAGCAGCAGGUUAAUACCCCGCUGUUCUGACGGUACCAAAAGAAUAAGCACCGGCUAACUUCGUG
Molecule: ribosomal RNA, 492 nt
Filed under: uncultured bacterium
Lineage: Bacteria
Description: partial 16S ribosomal RNA
Rfam family: Bacterial small subunit ribosomal RNA
Source: RNAcentral